GAAACGACUGCUAAGACUGGAUAGUAGACAAGAAGGCAUCUUCUUGUUUAUAAAAGACCUAUUAAUAGGUAUGCUUAGGGAGGAGCUUGCGUCACAUUAGUUAGUUGGUGGGGUAAAGGCCUACCAAGACUAUGAUGUGUAGCCGGGCUGAGAGGUUGAACGGCCACAUUGGGACUGAGACACGGCCCAAACUCCUACGGGAGGCAGCAGUAGGGAAUUUUCGGCAAUGGAGGAAACUCUGACCGAGCAACGCCGCGUGAACGAUGAAGUAUUUCGGUACGUAAAGUUCUUUUAUUAGGGAAGAAUAAAUGAUGGAAAAAUCAUUCUGACGGUACCUAAUGAAUAAGCCCCGGCUAACUAUGUGCCAGCAGCCGCGGUAAUACAUAGGUGGCAAGCGUUAUCCGGAAUUAUUGGGCGUAAAGGGUGCGUAGGCUGUUAAAUAAGUUUAUGGUCUAAGUGCAAUGCUCAACAUUGUGAUGCUAUAAAAACUGUUUAGCUAGAGUAAGAUAGAGGCAAGUGGAAUUCCAUGUGUAGUGGUAAAAUGCGUAAAUAUAUGGAGGAACACCAGUAGCGAAGGCGGCUUGCUGGGUCUUUACUGACGCUGAGGCACGAAAGCGUGGGGAGCAAACAGGAUUAGAUACCCUGGUAGUCCACGCCGUAAACGAUGAGUACUAAACGUGGGGUAAAACCAGUGUUGAAGUUAACACAUUAAGUACUCCGCCUGAGUAGUACGUACGCAAGUAUGAAACUUAAAGGAAUUGACGGGACUCCGCACAAGCGGUGGAUCAUGUUGUUUAAUUCGAAGGUACCCGAAAAACCUCACCAGGUCUUGACAUGCUUCUGCAAAGCUGUAGAAACACAGUGGAGGUUAUCAGUUGCACAGGUGGUGCAUGGUUGUCGUCAGCUCGUGUCGUGAGAUGUUGGGUUAAGUCCCGCAACGAGCGCAACCCUUAUUGUUAGUUGCCAGCACGUAAUGGUGGGGACUUUAGCAAGACUGCCAGUGAUAAAUUGGAGGAAGGUGGGGACGACGUCAAAUCAUCAUGCCCCUUAUGACCUGGCUACAAACGUGAUACAAUGGCUGUUACAAAGGGUAGCUGAAACGCAAGUUUUUGGCGAAUCUCAAAAAAACAGUCUCAGUUCGGAUUGAAGUCUGCAACUCGACUUCAUGAAGUUGGAAUCGCUAGUAAUCGCGAAUCAGCAUGUCGCGGUGAAUACGUUCACGGGGUUUGUACACACCGCCCGUCA
This 1245-nucleotide ribosomal RNA is filed under the name Aster yellows phytoplasma A. RNAcentral's name for it is "bacterial SSU rRNA". It matches the Rfam family "Bacterial small subunit ribosomal RNA", at positions 153 to 1399 of the family's 1533-position model. Lineage: Bacteria; Bacillati; Mycoplasmatota; Mollicutes; Acholeplasmatales; Acholeplasmataceae. The record is from RNAcentral.